GACGAACGCUGGCGGCGUGCCUAAUACAUGCGAGUAGAACGCACAGUUUAUACCGUAGCUUGCUACACCAUACACUGUGAGUUGCGAACGGGUGAGUAACGCGUAGGUAACCUGCCUGGUAGCGGGGGAUAACUAUUGGAAACGAUAGCUAAUACCGCAUAAUAUUGAUUAUUGCAUGAUAAUUGAUUGAAAGAUGCUAUUGCAUCACUACCAGAUGGACCUUCGUUGUAUUAGCUAGUAGGUGAGGUAACGGCUCACCUAGGCGACGAUACAUAGCCGACCUGGGAGGGGGAUCCGCCAAACUGGGACUGGGAAACCGCCCAGACUCCUUAGGGGAGCAGCAGUAGGGAAUCCUCGGCAAUGGAGGAAAGUCUGACCGGGCAACGCCGCGGGGGUGAAGAAGGUUUUCGGAUCGUAAAGCUCUGUUGUAAGAGAAGGACGGGUGUGGGAGUGGAAAGUGCACACUGUGACGGUACCUUACCAGAAAGGGACGGCUAACUACGUG
This 505-nucleotide ribosomal RNA is filed under the name uncultured bacterium. Its description in RNAcentral is "partial 16S ribosomal RNA". It matches the Rfam family "Bacterial small subunit ribosomal RNA", at positions 28 to 507 of the family's 1533-position model. The record is from RNAcentral.